UUUCUGCCACCGAAUACAUUAGCAUGGGAUAAUGGAAUAGGACCCUGUCCUCCUAUUUUCAGUUGGUUUUGGCAGCGCGAGGACUAGGGUAAUGAUUAAUAGGGAUAGUUGGGGGCAUUAAUAUUUAAUUGUCAGAGGUGAAAUUCUUGGAUUUAUGAAAGAUUAACUUCUGCGAAAGCAUCUGCCAAGGAUGUUUUCAUUAAUCAAGAACGAAAGUUAGGGGAUCGAAGACGAUCAGAUACCGUCGUAGUCUUAACCAUAAACGAUGCCGACCAGCGAUUAGGAGACGUUGAAUACAAAACACCACCAUCGGCGCGGUCGUCCUUGGCGUCGGUCCUUCACGGGGCCGGCGCGAGGGCGGCUUAGCCCGGUGGCACCGGUGAAUGACUCCCCUAGCAGCUUGUGA
This 406-nucleotide ribosomal RNA is filed under the name Acanthamoeba sp. Its description in RNAcentral is "SSU rRNA". It matches the Rfam family "Eukaryotic small subunit ribosomal RNA", at positions 786 to 1093 of the family's 1831-position model. The record is from RNAcentral. Lineage: Eukaryota; Discosea; Longamoebia; Acanthamoebidae.